RNAcentral lists this RNase P RNA (275 nucleotides) under Mesorhizobium sp. Its description in RNAcentral is "RNase P RNA component class A". It matches the Rfam family "Bacterial RNase P class A". Rfam says of the family: Ribonuclease P (RNase P) is a ubiquitous endoribonuclease, found in archaea, bacteria and eukarya as well as chloroplasts and mitochondria. Its best characterised activity is the generation of mature 5'-ends of tRNAs by cleaving the 5'-leader elements of precursor-tRNAs. The record is from RNAcentral. Lineage: Bacteria; Pseudomonadati; Pseudomonadota; Alphaproteobacteria; Hyphomicrobiales; Phyllobacteriaceae.
CCAGAUCUCCGGGCUGCACGCACUAAGCGACGAAUGUCGUGGAGCGAGGAAACUCCGGGCUUCGCCGACACACCCCAGCAGGUAAUGCCUGCCCGCCGCGAGGCGAGCCNNNNNNNNNNACGGCAACAGAGACGAGCCGUCCCAGUCGGGACGGGUGGGGCGGGGGAAGCAACCGCAAGAAGUGCUUUGGUGGCGGGCAAGGAGGCGCCUGGCGACAGGCGUCCAAGAGGAAUGGCAGCCCUCGACAGCACCCGGCUUACAGGGGAUCUGGUCUC